Molecule: unclassified non-coding RNA, 340 nt
Filed under: soil metagenome
Description: partial contains 5.8S ribosomal RNA, internal transcribed spacer 2, and large subunit ribosomal RNA
Rfam family: 5.8S ribosomal RNA (bases 1-120)
Source: RNAcentral
GAUGAAGAACGCAGUGAAAUGCGAUAAGUAGUGUGAAUUGCAGAAUUCAGUGAAUCAUCGAAUCUUUGAACGCACAUUGCGCCCUUUGGUAUUCCAAAGGGCAUGCCUGUUCGAGCGUCAUUUGUACCCUCAAGCUUUGCUUGGUGUUGGGCGUCUUGUCUCUAGCUUUGCUGGAGACUCGCCUUAAAGUAAUUGGCAGCCGGCCUACUGGUUUCGGAGCGCAGCACAAGUCGCACUCUCUAUCAGCAAAGGUCUAGCAUCCAUUAACCCUUUUUUCAACUUUUGACCUCGGAUCAGGUAGGGAUACCCGCUGAACUUAAGCAUAUCAAUAAGCGGAGGA